AUUUAACUCAGAUGCUGAACGUGAAGGAUAACGUUGCGUCAGCAACGGCCCGAAGGGCGAGGCGAAGUCGAGUCAUCCUGCACGACCCACCA
RNAcentral lists this small RNA (92 nucleotides) under Klebsiella pneumoniae. RNAcentral describes it as "partial RtT sRNA". It matches the Rfam family "RtT RNA", at positions 47 to 130 of the family's 130-position model. From Rfam's summary of the family: This family represents a bacterial cis-regulatory element known as RtT RNA. The record is from RNAcentral. Lineage: Bacteria; Pseudomonadati; Pseudomonadota; Gammaproteobacteria; Enterobacterales; Enterobacteriaceae.